RNAcentral lists this ribosomal RNA (777 nucleotides) under uncultured Neocallimastigales. Its description in RNAcentral is "partial large subunit ribosomal RNA". It matches the Rfam family "Eukaryotic large subunit ribosomal RNA", at positions 23 to 639 of the family's 3401-position model. The record is from RNAcentral. Lineage: Eukaryota; Fungi; Neocallimastigomycota; Neocallimastigomycetes; Neocallimastigales.
AGAGAUGUGUGAUGACGCAUAUCAAUAAGCGGAGGAAAAGAAACUAACAAGGAUUCCCUUAGUAACGGCGAGUGAAGCGGGAAGAGCUCAAAUUUGAAAUCUUCAAGGUUCUACCUUGACGAAUUGUAGUUUAUAGAAGUGUUUUCUGUUAGUGGAGUGGCAAAAGUUCUUUGGAAUAGGACAUCAUAGAGGGUGAGAAUCCCGUAUUUGGUCAUUCCUCCUAGCGUUGUGAUACACUUUCAACGAGUCGGAUUGUUUGGGAAUGCAGUCCAAAAUGGGUGGUAAAUUUCAUCUAAAGCUAAAUACUGGCGAGAGACCGAUAGCGAACAAGUACCGUGAGGGAAAGAUGAAAAGAACUUUGAAAAGAGAGUUAAACAGUACGUGAAAUUGUCAAAAGGGAAGCGUUUGACACCAGUGUUGUUUUCUCGAAAAUCAAUUAAGAAUGUUUGAUUUUGUAGUAAGUAUUGACUUUAUCAGGCUUGCUUCUCUCUUUUCUGAAUCUUUUUAAUGCACUUUUCGGUUAACAAGUCAACAUCAAUUUCUUUUGUUGUAAAAGGGUAUGAGGAAGGUGGCUUUCUUUUCGGAGAAAGUGUUUAUAGCCUUGUAGCCUCUGCAAUCGGAGAGAUUGAGGUCUGCAGCGUAGAUCCUUCGGGGUUAGAUACAUUUGUGCUAAGUUAUAGCUUUUCAUAGACAACUUGUUGACUAUGUUAAGUCUUGUAGCUUACUCGCUUAUGCUAUUUUACCUACGCUUAGGAUGUUGAAGAUGUAGCACAUCAU